AGGGCACCACCAGGAGUGGAGCCUGCGGCUUAAUUUGACUCAACACGGGAAAACUCACCCGGCCCGGACACUGGAAGGAUUGACAGAUUGAGAGCUCUUUCUUGAUUCAGUGGGUGGUGGUGCAUGGCCGUUCUUAGUUGGUGGAGCGAUUUGUCUGGUUAAUUCCGAUAACGAACGAGACUCUAGCCUACUAAAUAGAUCGUCGGCUUACAAACGCCGAUGAGACUUCUUAGAGGGACAGGCGGCGAUUCAGCCGCACGAAACAGAGCAAUAACAGGUCUGUGAUGCCCUUAGAUGUCCGGGGCCGCACGCGCGCUACACUGAAGUGAUCAGCGUGCAUUUUCAGCCUACUCUGCCAAGAGUGGGAAGCCCAAUGAACCUUCUUCGUGAUUGGGAUAGGGGAUUGUAAUUAUUCCCCUUGAACGAGGAAUUCCCAGUAAGCGCGAGUCAUAAGCUCGCGUUGAUUACAUCCCUGCCCUUUGUACGCACCGCCCGUCGCUACUACCGAUAGAAUGUUUU
RNAcentral lists this ribosomal RNA (519 nucleotides) under uncultured eukaryote. RNAcentral describes it as "SSU rRNA". It matches the Rfam family "Eukaryotic small subunit ribosomal RNA", at positions 1161 to 1699 of the family's 1831-position model. The record is from RNAcentral.